GACUCAAAAACUAUUUUAAUAUUGACAUAUUUUAGAAUGAAUGGUGUAUCAUAGAUGAAUUGUAGUGAAUAAUGACAUGUGGUUUAUAUAGAAAAUAAAAUAUUCUUCUACAGCCAUUAAAUGAGCCCAUGUUGAAAAGAAUCCAUUAGAUUAUUGUAGAGCUAUGACCAAUCUAAUUUGGAAUUGUAUAAAAAUAAUUUUUUGAGUGGUGUCUAAUUUUUAGAUUCUAUUAAUUACUCAAUAUUACAACAUUUUAUCAUCAUCAAAUUUACUAUGAUAAUAUUAUUACUAUUCUAAUGAUAUCAUUAAUACUUAAUAGCAGCUAUAAAAGCACUAUUCUCAAUCAUAAUUUUUUGCAUGGAUACAUUCCAAAUUACUACAUUCUAAGACCUACU
Molecule: long non-coding RNA, 395 nt
Filed under: Physcomitrium patens
Lineage: Eukaryota; Viridiplantae; Streptophyta; Bryopsida; Funariales; Funariaceae
Description: long non-coding RNA (PPAT_LNC010295)
Source: RNAcentral